UACAGAGGUCUCAAGCGUUGUUCGGAUUCACUGGGCGUAAAGGGCGCGCAGGCGGCCCAGUGUGUCAGGUGUGAAAUCCCGGGGCUCAACCCCGGAACUGCAUUUGAUACUGCGUGGCUCGGGUACUGGAGAGGAGACUGGAAUUUACGGUGUAGCAGUGAAAUGCGUAGAUAUCGUAAGGAAGACCAGUGGCGAAGGCGAGUCUCUGGACAGUUACCGACGCUGAGGCACGAAGGUCAGGGGAGCAAACGGG
Molecule: ribosomal RNA, 253 nt
Filed under: uncultured bacterium
Lineage: Bacteria
Description: partial 16S ribosomal RNA
Rfam family: Bacterial small subunit ribosomal RNA
Source: RNAcentral